RNAcentral lists this ribosomal RNA (452 nucleotides) under uncultured Prevotella sp. RNAcentral describes it as "partial 16S ribosomal RNA". It matches the Rfam family "Bacterial small subunit ribosomal RNA", at positions 343 to 792 of the family's 1533-position model. The record is from RNAcentral. Lineage: Bacteria; Pseudomonadati; Bacteroidota; Bacteroidia; Bacteroidales; Prevotellaceae.
ACGGGGCAGCAGUGAGGAAUAUUGGUCAAUGGGCGAGAGCCUGAACCAGCCAAGUAGCGUGCAGGAUGACGGCCCUAUGGGUUGUAAACUGCUUUUAUAUGGGGAUAAAAAAGAGUACGUGUACUUUAUUGCAGGUACCAUAUGAAUAAGGACCGGCUAAUUCCGUGCCAGCAGCCGCGGUAAUACGGAAGGUCCAGGCGUUAUCCGGAUUUAUUGGGUUUAAAGGGAGCGUAGGCGGCAUAUUAAGCGUGUUGUGAAAUGUAGAUGCUCAACAUCUGAAUUGCAGCGCGAACUGGUUUGCUUGAGUGCGCGAGAAGUAGGCGGAAUUCGUCGUGUAGCGGUGAAAUGCUUAGAUAUGACGAAGAACUCCGAUUGCGAAGGCAGCUUACUGUAGCGUAACUGACGCUGAAGCUCGAAAGUGCGGGUAUCGAACAGGAUUAGAUACCCUGGUA